This 250-nucleotide ribosomal RNA is filed under the name uncultured Spartobacteria bacterium. RNAcentral describes it as "partial 16S ribosomal RNA". It matches the Rfam family "Bacterial small subunit ribosomal RNA", at positions 524 to 773 of the family's 1533-position model. Lineage: Bacteria; Pseudomonadati; Verrucomicrobiota; Spartobacteria. The record is from RNAcentral.
UACAGAGGUCUCAAGCGUUGUUCGGAUUCAUUGGGCGUAAAGGGUGCGUAGGCGGUCUGGUAAGUCGGAUGUGAAAUCCCGGAGCUUAACUUCGGAACUGCAUUCGAUACUGCCGGGCUGGAGUACUGGAGAGGAGACUGGAAUUCACGGUGUAGCAGUGAAAUGCGUAGAUAUCGUAAGGAAGACCAGUGGCGAAGGCGGGUCUCUGGACAGUUACUGACACUGAGGCACGAAGGCCAGGGGAGCAAAC